This is a long non-coding RNA of Rhinolophus ferrumequinum (greater horseshoe bat), 913 nucleotides long. RefSeq lists it as uncharacterized. The record is from RefSeq and is a predicted model, not a curated record. Lineage: Eukaryota; Metazoa; Chordata; Mammalia; Chiroptera; Rhinolophidae. The transcript is spliced from 5 exons.
AAGAGAAACUGGUGUCCCAGAGGCGCUCGGUGUGGGCAGGCAGGAAGCACGGCCGCACUAGAACACACCAGGUUUUCUCUUUUAACAACUCCAAAGCCAGCGCCUCUUCCAUCCAGGGGCCAGUUGUGGACUUUGGACAGAUGUAGUGCCAGGAUGACUUGAAAGUAGGGCAUCCUUGGCCCUCCUGAAGAGAAAAUUAGUGGCAGGUGUACAGUCUGUGUGGAGUUUUCAGGGUUGAAAGAAACUGCUGUCAGUAGACUUGCAUUGAAAAUUUGGAUCACGUCUCAAAUUUUAAUUGGGAAAACAAAACCCCAGAAGAAUAAAUUCUGCAUGCCCCAAAGGGAUACUAAUAGGAAGCUCAGUGCCUAGGAAUUCACACAAAAGAAAACAACCUGGAACCAAUGUGAGGAUAUGUAUUCAUUCAUUCACCAGUAUUUAUAAAGUGACUACUAAAUGCCAAGCCCUGUGGUAGACAGUAUGAAGCAGUGAAGGAAUGGAGCACAGGCCCUGCUUCAUGGGAGUUAUGAGUUCACACCAGUGUUUAGACCCACAGCAGCAGCAUCACCAGGGAACUUGUCAGGAAGACAGCUUCUCAAGCCCCAUCGAAAGGUGAGGCCCAGCCAUCUAUGUAGCAGCAAGCCCUUUGGGUAAUUUUGAUGCACAGUAAAGCUUGAGAACUGAUUUAGAGGAAGGAAAAUUUCACUGAGCUGCAGUUUCAUGGAAGAGGAAGAAUUUGAAUAGUAUCAAAGCUCACACCUGGGACGGCAUGUGAGCAAUAGAUGGUCAUCUAAAUACCACCUUGCUGAUUUCUUGUUUUUAAAAAACAAAAAAAAAUCAUGCUGUAUUUUCCCUUCAAAGAUUCACAGCCACCUCUGAGCAAAUAAAAUUAUUGAAUUUUUCAGACACUUAGAAA